AAUAAACGGUCUUCCUUCCCGGACCUAUUCCGUAGGAAAGGCGCUACAGCGCCCCAGAACUUAGUUAUGCGACGGUUGGAUGCCUUUGUGGUCUUCGG
Unclassified non-coding RNA from Microcebus murinus (gray mouse lemur), 98 nucleotides. Lineage: Eukaryota; Metazoa; Chordata; Mammalia; Primates; Cheirogaleidae. The record is from Ensembl.